Molecule: transfer RNA, 74 nt
Filed under: Candidatus Spechtbacteria bacterium RIFCSPHIGHO2_01_FULL_38_11
Lineage: Bacteria; Candidatus Spechtiibacteriota
Also listed under: 3 other names
Description: tRNA-Ala
Rfam family: tRNA
About the family: Transfer RNA (tRNA) molecules are approximately 80 nucleotides in length. Their secondary structure includes four short double-helical elements and three loops (D, anti-codon, and T loops).
Source: RNAcentral
GGGCCUGUAGUAUAGUGGCAAUACACCGCAUUCGCAUUGCGGAGACAGGGAUUCGAUUUCUCUCAGGUCCACUA